This 348-nucleotide ribosomal RNA is filed under the name Triticum aestivum (bread wheat). Its description in RNAcentral is "partial small subunit ribosomal RNA". The record is from RNAcentral. Lineage: Eukaryota; Viridiplantae; Streptophyta; Magnoliopsida; Poales; Poaceae.
AUGGGUGAUGCGGAGUGCGUGGAUGACUUUGCAGCGAGGUUCACGACGCUUGUGGGGCUCAUCCGUGCGCUCGGUGAUCAGAUGGAGGAGAAGUACGUCGUGAAGAAGCUGCUGCGAGCCGUCUCCAACAAGUUCAUCCACGUUGCUUCGUCGAUUGCAUUGUUCGGUGACACGAACAAGAUGGCCAUGGAGGAGGCCAUUGGUUCACUCAAGGCGCACGAGGAGCUCGUCAAGGGGCGGGAGACGGCACGUGAAGAAGAGCAGCUCCUCAUGGCGAGAGGGCAUGACUCAUUGCAAGGAAGCGGCUGUGGUGGCCGUGGCCGUGGCCGCGGACAUGGCCAUGGUUGA